Molecule: ribosomal RNA, 111 nt
Filed under: Spirochaetales bacterium
Lineage: Bacteria; Pseudomonadati; Spirochaetota; Spirochaetia; Spirochaetales
Source: RNAcentral
CCUGGUGGCCAUAGCAGAGUGGAAAUACCCGUUCCCAUCCCGAACACGGAAGUCAAGCGCUCUCACGCCGAUGGUACUGCAGCAAUGCGGGAGAGGAGGUAGCCGCCAGGU